Molecule: ribosomal RNA, 482 nt
Filed under: uncultured bacterium
Lineage: Bacteria
Description: partial 16S ribosomal RNA
Rfam family: Bacterial small subunit ribosomal RNA
Source: RNAcentral
AGGGAAGGCGGGGGGCAUGCUUUACACAUGCAAGUCGAACGGUAACUGGCCGCAAGGUGCUGACGAGUGGCGAACGGGUGAGUAAUGCAUCGGAACGUGCCCAGUCGUAGGGGAUAACUACUCGAAAGAGUAGCUAAUACCGCAUACGAUCUAUGGAUGAAAGCGGGGGACCGUAAGGCCUCGCGCGAUUGGAGCGGCCGAUGUCAGAUUAGGUAGUUGGUGGGGUAAAGGCUCACCAAGCCAACGAUCUGUAGCUGGUCUGAGAGGACGACCAGCCACACUGGGACUGAGACACGGCCCAGACUCCUACGGGAGGCAGCAGUGGGGAAUUUUGGACAAUGGGCGCAAGCCUGAUCCAGCAAUGCCGCGUGCAGGAAGAAGGCCUUCGGGUUGUAAACUGCUUUUGUACGGAACGAAACGGCUCUGGUUAAUACCCGGGGCUAAUGACGGUACCGUAAGAAUAAGCACCGGCUAACUACGUG